RNAcentral lists this ribosomal RNA (493 nucleotides) under uncultured bacterium. RNAcentral describes it as "partial 16S ribosomal RNA". It matches the Rfam family "Bacterial small subunit ribosomal RNA", at positions 28 to 507 of the family's 1533-position model. The record is from RNAcentral.
GAUGAACGCUGGCGGCGUGCCUAAUACAUGCAAGUCGAGCGAACAGACGAGGAGCUUUCUCCUCUGACGUUAGCGGCGGACGGGUGAGUAACACGUGGAUAACCUACUUAUAAGACUGGGAUAACUUCGGGAAACCGGAGCUACUACUGGCUAAUAUAUUGAACCGCAUGGUUCACUAGUGAAAGACGGUUUUGCUGUCACUUAUAGAUGGGUCCGCGCCCCAUUAGUUAGUUGGUAGGGUAACGGCUUACCAAGGCGUGGAUGCGUAGCCGACCUGAGAGGGUGGAAGGCAACCUUGGGACUGAGAUACGGCCCGGACUACGACGGGAGGCAGCAGUGGGGAAGAGUGUACAAUGGGAGGAAGCCUGAUGAAGCGACGACGGGUGGGGGAUGAAGGCCUUCGGGUUGUAAACUCCUUUCGUUAGGGACGAAGCCGAACCUUUUUUGGGUGUGGUGACGGUACCUUUGUGAAGAAGCACCGGCUAACUACGUG